AUGCACCUGGGCAAGGAUU
This 19-nucleotide microRNA is filed under the name Pteropus alecto (black flying fox). RNAcentral's name for it is "pal-miR-502-3p". Its record names the gene pal-miR-502-3p. Lineage: Eukaryota; Metazoa; Chordata; Mammalia; Chiroptera; Pteropodidae. The record is from miRBase by way of RNAcentral.